This 74-nucleotide transfer RNA is filed under the name Candidatus Moraniibacteriota bacterium. Its description in RNAcentral is "tRNA-Gln". It matches the Rfam family "tRNA". Rfam says of the family: Transfer RNA (tRNA) molecules are approximately 80 nucleotides in length. Their secondary structure includes four short double-helical elements and three loops (D, anti-codon, and T loops). Further hydrogen bonds mediate the characteristic L-shaped molecular structure. tRNAs have two regions of fundamental functional importance: the anti-codon, which is responsible for specific mRNA codon recognition, and the 3' end, to which the tRNAs corresponding amino acid is attached (by aminoacyl-tRNA synthetases). tRNAs cope with the degeneracy of the genetic code in two manners: having more than one tRNA (with a specific anti-codon) for a particular amino acid; and 'wobble' base-pairing, i.e. permitting non-standard base-pairing at the 3rd anti-codon position. The record is from RNAcentral. Lineage: Bacteria; Candidatus Moraniibacteriota.
UGGGGGGUCGUCUAACGGCAAGACUGCGGACUCUGGGUCCGCCUAUUGGGGUUCGAAUCCCUGUCCCCCAGCCA